GGGCUCACAGCUCACAUACUAACAUUAGAAUAAUACAGAGAAGAGUAAUAUGGCCUCAGCACAAGAAUGACAUUCUAUUUUAUGAAGAAUUUCGUAUCUUA
This 101-nucleotide small nuclear RNA is filed under the name Vombatus ursinus (common wombat). The record is from RNAcentral. Lineage: Eukaryota; Metazoa; Chordata; Mammalia; Diprotodontia; Vombatidae.